UACGUAGGUCCCGAGCGUUGUCCGGAUUUAUUGGGGGUAAAGCGAGCGCAGGUGGUUUAUUAAGUCUGGUGUAAAAGGCAGUGGCUCAACCAUUGUAUGCAUUGGAAACUGGUAGACUAGAGUGCAGGAGAGGAGAAUGGAAUUCCUAGUGUAGCGGUGAAAUGCGUAGAGAUUAGGAAGAACCCCAGUGGCGAAGGCGAUUCUCUGGACUGUAACUGACGCUGAGGCUCGAAAGCGUGGGGAGCAAACAGG
This 252-nucleotide ribosomal RNA is filed under the name uncultured bacterium. Its description in RNAcentral is "partial 16S ribosomal RNA". It matches the Rfam family "Bacterial small subunit ribosomal RNA", at positions 524 to 776 of the family's 1533-position model. The record is from RNAcentral.